AAAUUGAAGAGUUUGAUCAUGGCUCAGAUUGAACGCUGGCGGCAGGCCUAACACAUGCAAGUCGAGCGGAAACGAGUUAUCUGAACCUUCGGGGAACGAUAACGGCGUCGAGCGGCGGACGGGUGAGUAAUGCCUAGGAAAUUGCCCUGAUGUGGGGGAUAACCAUUGGAAACGAUGGCUAAUACCGCAUGAUGCCUACGGGCCAAAGAGGGGGACCUUCGGGCCUCUCGCGUCAGGAUAUGCCUAGGUGGGAUUAGCUAGUUGGUGAGGUAAGGGCUCACCAAGGCGACGAUCCCUAGCUGGUCUGAGAGGAUGAUCAGCCACACUGGAACUGAGACACGGUCCAGACUCCUACGGGAGGCAGCAGUGGGGAAUAUUGCACAAUGGGCGCAAGCCUGAUGCAGCCAUGCCGCGUGUGUGAAGAAGGCCUUCGGGUUGUAAAGCACUUUCAGUCGUGAGGAAGGUAAUGUAGUUAAUAGCUGCAUUAUUUGACGUUAGCGACAGAAGAAGCACCGGCUAACUCCGUGCCAGCAGCCGCGGUAAUACGGAGGGUGCGAGCGUUAAUCGGAAUUACUGGGCGUAAAGCGCAUGCAGGUGGUUUGUUAAGUCAGAUGUGAAAGCCCGGGGCUCAACCUCGGAAUAGCAUUUGAAACUGGCAGACUAGAGUACUGUAGAGGGGGGUAGAAUUUCAGGUGUAGCGGUGAAAUGCGUAGAGAUCUGAAGGAAUACCGGUGGCGAAGGCGGCCCCCUGGACAGAUACUGACACUCAGAUGCGAAAGCGUGGGGAGCAAACAGGAUUAGAUACCCUGGUAGUCCACGCCGUAAACGAUGUCUACUUGGAGGUUGUGGCCUUGAGCCGUGGCUUUCGGAGCUAACGCGUUAAGUAGACCGCCUGGGGAGUACGGUCGCAAGAUUAAAACUCAAAUGAAUUGACGGGGGCCCGCACAAGCGGUGGAGCAUGUGGUUUAAUUCGAUGCAACGCGAAGAACCUUACCUACUCUUGACAUCCAGAGAACUUUCCAGAGAUGGAUUGGUGCCUUCGGGAACUCUGAGACAGGUGCUGCAUGGCUGUCGUCAGCUCGUGUUGUGAAAUGUUGGGUUAAGUCCCGCAACGAGCGCAACCCUUAUCCUUGUUUGCCAGCGAGUAAUGUCGGGAACUCCAGGGAGACUGCCGGUGAUAAACCGGAGGAAGGUGGGGACGACGUCAAGUCAUCAUGGCCCUUACGAGUAGGGCUACACACGUGCUACAAUGGCGCAUACAGAGGGCGGCCAACUUGCGAAAGUGAGCGAAUCCCAAAAAGUGCGUCGUAGUCCGGAUUGGAGUCUGCAACUCGACUCCAUGAAGUCGGAAUCGCUAGUAAUCGUGGAUCAGAAUGCCACGGUGAAUACGUUCCCGGGCCUUGUACACACCGCCCGUCACACCAUGGGAGUGGGCUGCAAAAGAAGUAGGUAGUUUAACCUUCGGGGGGACGCUUACCACUUUGUGGUUCAUGACUGGGGUGAAGUCGUAACAAGGUAGCGCUAGGGGAACCUGGCGCUGGAUCACCUCCUUA
RNAcentral lists this ribosomal RNA (1553 nucleotides) under Vibrio alginolyticus. RNAcentral describes it as "bacterial SSU rRNA". It matches the Rfam family "Bacterial small subunit ribosomal RNA". Lineage: Bacteria; Pseudomonadati; Pseudomonadota; Gammaproteobacteria; Vibrionales; Vibrionaceae. The record is from RNAcentral.